UACGUAGGGACCAAGCGUUGUCCGGAAUCAUUGGGCGUAAAGAGCGUGUAGGCGGCUUGUUAAGUCUUGCGUGAAAUCUCGGGGCUCAACCCCGAGCGGUCGUGAGAAACUGGCAGGCUAGAGUGCGGGAGAGGAGAGUGGAAUUCCUGGUGUAGCGGUGGAAUGCGCAGAUAUCAGGAGGAACACCGAUGGCGAAGGCAGAUCUCUGGGCCGUAACUGACGCUGAGGAGCGAAAGCAUGGGAGCGAACAGG
This 252-nucleotide ribosomal RNA is filed under the name uncultured bacterium. RNAcentral's name for it is "partial 16S ribosomal RNA". It matches the Rfam family "Bacterial small subunit ribosomal RNA", at positions 524 to 776 of the family's 1533-position model. The record is from RNAcentral.